Papilio polytes (common Mormon) is the source of this 510-nucleotide long non-coding RNA. RefSeq lists it as uncharacterized. NCBI's taxonomy places the organism in Eukaryota, Metazoa, Arthropoda, Insecta, Lepidoptera, Papilionidae. The transcript is spliced from 2 exons. The record is from RefSeq and is a predicted model, not a curated record.
UAUAGUGAGCUGGUGAUGAUGAUGAUACUUAUAGUCCUCAAAUGUAAAAGUUUGGAUUGAUAUUUGUUACUAUAUCCAAAACAUGUAAAUAGACCUCUAUAAGUCACAAAUAGAACAUAAUCUGAAAAACACACUUGAGUUUGUUACACAAGCCUCAAGCAAAAGCUUUUUUUUUAAGGAUGGUGGAACACCUGAUAUGAGACCAGAUGAAGUAUUAGACAAAGUAUAUUCUAUGUUGAAUAGUCCAAUAAAUGAUUAUAAAGAUAAAUUUGGAGGUGAUUCACAAUUAAUUAAUGAUGAUGCCUCAAAUUGUUCAAAUCCUGAUUUCUUUUUAAAAAAUCAUGCAAUCUUACCUUUGCAAGAUAUAGAAAUAAUUAGUAUUAUACCGGAGGAUGUUGAAAGUGGGAACAAACAUACCAAUAGUCCACAAACUGAAGGUAUUCAACGGAAAUAUAGAGUAAACGAGAGCAGAGUUGCAAGAGAUAAAGCUAUACAAAAUUAUUACGAAAC